GUCUGGGAAACUGCCUGAUGGAGGGGGAUAACUACUGGAAACGGUAGCUAAUACCGCAUAACGUCGCAAGACCAAAGAGGGGGACCUUCGGGCCUCUUGCCAUCGGAUGUGCCCAGAUGGGAUUAGCUAGUAGGUGGGGUAACGGCUCACCUAGGCGACGAUCCCUAGCUGGUCUGAGAGGAUGACCAGCCACACUGGAACUGAGACACGGUCCAGACUCCUACGGGAGGCAGCAGUGGGGAAUAUUGCACAAUGGGCGCAAGCCUGAUGCAGCCAUGCCGCGUGUAUGAAGAAGGCCUUUCGGGUUGUAAAGUACUUUUCAGCGGGGAGGAAGGCGAUAAGGUUAAUAACCUUGUCGAUUGACGUUACCCGCAGAAGAAGCACCGCUAACUCC
Molecule: ribosomal RNA, 394 nt
Filed under: Enterobacter hormaechei
Lineage: Bacteria; Pseudomonadati; Pseudomonadota; Gammaproteobacteria; Enterobacterales; Enterobacteriaceae
Description: bacterial SSU rRNA
Rfam family: Bacterial small subunit ribosomal RNA
Source: RNAcentral